This 472-nucleotide ribosomal RNA is filed under the name uncultured bacterium. Its description in RNAcentral is "bacterial SSU rRNA". It matches the Rfam family "Bacterial small subunit ribosomal RNA", at positions 17 to 482 of the family's 1533-position model. The record is from RNAcentral.
UCCUGGCUCAGGAUGAACGCGGCGGCGUGCCUAAUACAUGCAAGUCGAGCGAACGGACGAGAGUGCUUGCACUCUCUGAUGUUAGCGGCGGACGGGUGAGUAACACGUGGGUAACCUACCUAUAAGACUGGGAUAACUUCGGGAAACCGGAGCUAAUACCGGAUAAUAUUUAGCUUCGCAUGAAGCAAUAGUGAAAGACGGUUCUGCUGUCACUUAUAGAUGGACCCGCGGUGUAUUAGCUAGUUGGUGAGGUAACGGCUCACCAAGGCAACGAUACAUAGCCGACCUGAGAGGGUGAUCGGCCACACUGGGACUGAGACACGGCCCAGACUCCUACGGGAGGCAGCAGUAGGGAAUCUUCCGCAAUGGACGAAAGUCUGACGGAGCAACGCCGCGUGAGUGAAGAAGGUUUUCGGAUCGUAAAACUCUGUUGUAAGGGAAGAACAAGUACGUUAGAACUGAACGUACCUGA